GUUAGGAAUAUUGGACAAUGGGCGAAAGCCUGAUCCAGCCAUGUCGCGUGAACGAUGAAGGCCUUCGGGUUGUAAAGUUCUUUAGCCGAUGAUUAUAAUGACUGUAGUCGGAAAAUAAGCCCCGGCUAACUUCGUGCCAGCAGCCGCGGUAAUACGAAGGGGGCGAGCGUUAUUCGGAAUCACUGGGCGUAAAGCGUGCGUAGGCGGUUUUGUAAGUUAGGAGUGAAAGCCCAGGGCUCAACCUUGGAAUUGCUCUUAAAACUGCAAGGCUCGAAUCUCGGAGAGGAUAGCGGAAUUUCCAGUGUAGCAGUGAAAUGCGUAGAUAUUGGAAGGAACACCAGUGGCGUAAGCGGCUAUCUGGACGAGUAUUGACGCUGAGGCACGAAAGCGUGGGGAUCAAACAGGAUUAGAAACCCUGGUAGUCC
This 425-nucleotide ribosomal RNA is filed under the name uncultured bacterium. RNAcentral's name for it is "partial 16S ribosomal RNA". It matches the Rfam family "Bacterial small subunit ribosomal RNA", at positions 354 to 796 of the family's 1533-position model. The record is from RNAcentral.